RNAcentral lists this unclassified non-coding RNA (454 nucleotides) under Symphyotrichum novae-angliae. RNAcentral's name for it is "partial contains external transcribed spacer and 18S ribosomal RNA". The record is from RNAcentral. Lineage: Eukaryota; Viridiplantae; Streptophyta; Magnoliopsida; Asterales; Asteraceae.
AAAGGUGCAUGAGUGGUGUUUGGAUUGAUACGGGUGGUCGGCUCCCUGCUUGAGCAGGCACGACCAUGCGUGCUUUCCUUUUCAGAUGUUCGGCAAGGCUUGUAUCGUCUUGACCGUACCAGUGGGUUUCUUGUGCUGCAUACCUAAAAGAUGGCAUCGAUCUGAUCAAAUCAGUAUCGUUUUCGUCUGGCAUUGCGAUAGCAUUGUCGGAUGAACCAUGCAACACACUCUUCGAUCCAUACAGUUGACGUUUACUCGUUCAUUGGCUGGGUCGUUGAGGGUGCUUGGUGUCCCGGAUAUGGAAGCCAAAGAAGGCAUACGGAUCGAAAGAUCCUUUUAUUGCCCUCAUUUGAGCGUUCUUGCUUCUCUCACACGACCGCCUUUGCACGUAUGGCACGUCCCAGCGGAUUGGCCACGUCGGAGAGGGAUGCAUCGAGCGUUCUUGCUUUUCUCA